GAUGAACGCUGGCGGCGUGCCUAAUACAUGCAAGUCGAGCGAACAGACGAGGAGCUUGCUCCUCUGACGUUAGCGGCGGACGGGUGAGUAACACGUGGAUAACCUACCUAUAAGACUGGGAUAACUUCGGGAAACCGGAGCUAAUACCGGAUAAUAUAUUGAACCGCAUGGUUCAAUAGUGAAAGACGGUUUUGCUGUCACUUAUAGAUGGAUCCGCGCCGCAUUAGCUAGUUGGUAAGGUAACGGCUUACCAAGGCAACGAUGCGUAGCCGACCUGAGAGGGUGGUCGGCCGCACUGGAGCUGAGACACGGUCCAGACUCCUACGGGAGGCAGCAGUAGGGAAUCUUCCGCAAAGGGCGAAAGCCUGACGGAGCAACGCCGCGUGAGUGAUGAAGGUCUUCGGAUCGUAAAACUCUGUUAUUAGGGAAGAACAAAUGUGUAAGUAACUAUGCACGUCUUGACGGUACCUAAUCAGAAAGCCACGGCUAACUACGUG
Molecule: ribosomal RNA, 497 nt
Filed under: uncultured bacterium
Lineage: Bacteria
Description: partial 16S ribosomal RNA
Rfam family: Bacterial small subunit ribosomal RNA
Source: RNAcentral